Small nuclear RNA from Sorex fumeus (smoky shrew), 106 nucleotides. The record is from RefSeq and is a predicted model, not a curated record. Lineage: Eukaryota; Metazoa; Chordata; Mammalia; Eulipotyphla; Soricidae.
GUGCUCACUUUGGCAACACAUAUACUAAAUUCGAAUGAUACAGAGAGUAUUAGCUCAGCCCCUGAGCAAGAAUGACACAAAAAUUUAUGAAGAAAAAUUUCUAGCU